Molecule: ribosomal RNA, 1527 nt
Filed under: Sphingobacterium sp. KU25419
Lineage: Bacteria; Pseudomonadati; Bacteroidota; Sphingobacteriia; Sphingobacteriales; Sphingobacteriaceae
Description: Bacterial small subunit ribosomal RNA
Rfam family: Bacterial small subunit ribosomal RNA
Source: Rfam by way of RNAcentral
ACAAUGGAGAGUUUGAUCCUGGCUCAGGAUGAACGCUAGCGGCAGGCCUAAUACAUGCAAGUCGGACGGGAUUCAGGGAGUAGCUUGCUACGACUGAUGAGAGUGGCGCACGGGUGCGUAACGCGUGAGCAACCUACCCAUAUCAGGGGGAUAGCCUCUCGAAAGAGAGAUUAACACCGCAUAACAUCAUACCGGCAUCGGUUGAUGAUCAAAUAUUUAUAGGAUAUGGAUGGGCUCGCGUGACAUUAGCUAGUUGGCGGGGUAACGGCCCACCAAGGCUACGAUGUCUAGGGGCUCUGAGAGGAGAAUCCCCCACACUGGUACUGAGACACGGACCAGACUCCUACGGGAGGCAGCAGUAAGGAAUAUUGGUCAAUGGAGGGAACUCUGAACCAGCCAUGCCGCGUGCAGGAUGACUGCCCUAUGGGUUGUAAACUGCUUUUGUCAGGGAAUAAACCUUUCCACGUGUGGGAAGCUGAAUGUACCUGAAGAAUAAGGAUCGGCUAACUCCGUGCCAGCAGCCGCGGUAAUACGGAGGAUCCAAGCGUUAUCCGGAUUUAUUGGGUUUAAAGGGUGCGUAGGCGGUCCUAUAAGUCAGUGGUGAAAGACGGCAGCUUAACUGUCGCAGUGCCUUUGAUACUGUAGGACUUGAAUCUAUUUGAAGUGGGCGGAAUAAGACAAGUAGCGGUGAAAUGCAUAGAUAUGUCUUAGAACUCCGAUUGCGAAGGCAGCUCACUAAGUUAGUAUUGACGCUGAUGCACGAAAGCGUGGGGAUCAAACAGGAUUAGAUACCCUGGUAGUCCACGCCCUAAACGAUGAUAACUCGAUGUUUGCGAUACACAGUAAGCGUCCAAGCGAAAGCGUUAAGUUAUCCACCUGGGGAGUACGGUCGCAAGAUUGAAACUCAAAGGAAUUGACGGGGGCCCGCACAAGCGGAGGAGCAUGUGGUUUAAUUCGAUGAUACGCGAGGAACCUUACCCGGGCUUGAAAGUUAGUGAAUGAUCCAGAGACGGAUCAGUCCUUCGGGACACGAAACUAGGUGCUGCAUGGCUGUCGUCAGCUCGUGCCGUGAGGUGUUGGGUUAAGUCCCGCAACGAGCGCAACCCCUAUGUUUAGUUGCCAGCAUGUAAUGAUGGGGACUCUAAACAGACUGCCAGCGUAAGCUGUGAGGAAGGUGGGGACGACGUCAAGUCAUCAUGGCCCUUACGUCCGGGGCUACACACGUGCUACAAUGGAUGGUACAGCGGGCAGCUACAUAGCAAUAUGAUGCUAAUCUCUAAAAGCCAUUCACAGUUCGGAUUGAGGUCUGCAACUCGACCUCAUGAAGUUGGAUUCGCUAGUAAUCGCGUAUCAGCAAUGACGCGGUGAAUACGUUCCCGGGCCUUGUACACACCGCCCGUCAAGCCAUGAAAGUUGGGGGUACCUAAAGCAUGUAACCGCAAGGAGCGUGUUAGGGUAAAACCGAUAAUUGGGGCUAAGUCGUAACAAGGUAGCCGUACCGGAAGGUGCGGCUGGAAUACCUCCUUU